This 253-nucleotide ribosomal RNA is filed under the name uncultured bacterium. RNAcentral describes it as "partial 16S ribosomal RNA". It matches the Rfam family "Bacterial small subunit ribosomal RNA", at positions 524 to 776 of the family's 1533-position model. The record is from RNAcentral.
UACAGAGGGGGCAAGCGUUAUUCGGAAUUACUGGGCGUAAAGGGCUCGUAGGCGGCCCACUAAGUCAGACGUGAAAUCCCUCGGCUUAACCGGGGAACUGCGUCUGAUACUGGAGGGCUUGAGUUUGGGAGAGGGAUGCGGAAUUCCAGGUGUAGCGGUGAAAUGCGUAGAUAUCUGGAGGAACACCGGUGGCGAAGGCGGCAUCCUGGACCAACACUGACGCUGAGGAGCGAAAGCCAGGGGAGCGAACGGG